GCUGGGCAUGGUGGCGCGUGCCUGUAAUCCCAGCUACUCAGGAGGCUGAGGCAGGAGAAUUGCUUGAACCCAGGAGGCGGAGGUUGCGGUGGGCCGAGAUCACGCCAUUGCACUCCAGCCUGAGUAACAAGAGUGAAACUCCGUCUCAAGAAAAGACAGAGUCUUGCUCUGUGGCCCAGGUUGGAGUGCAGUGGCAUGAUAUGGGCUCACUGUAACCUCCACCUCCUAGGUUCAAGCAAUUCUUCUGCCUCAGU
RNAcentral lists this signal recognition particle RNA (254 nucleotides) under Callithrix jacchus (white-tufted-ear marmoset). RNAcentral describes it as "Metazoan signal recognition particle RNA (ENSCJAG00000055719.2)". It matches the Rfam family "Metazoan signal recognition particle RNA". From Rfam's summary of the family: The signal recognition particle (SRP) is a universally conserved ribonucleoprotein. It is involved in the co-translational targeting of proteins to membranes. The eukaryotic SRP consists of a 300-nucleotide 7S RNA and six proteins: SRPs 72, 68, 54, 19, 14, and 9. The record is from RNAcentral. Lineage: Eukaryota; Metazoa; Chordata; Mammalia; Primates; Cebidae.